GAGGAUGUAGCUCAGUGGUAGAGUAUUUGCCUAGCAUGCACAAAGACCUGGGUCCCAACAUCCAUG
Molecule: transfer RNA, 66 nt
Filed under: Fukomys damarensis (Damara mole-rat)
Lineage: Eukaryota; Metazoa; Chordata; Mammalia; Rodentia; Bathyergidae
Rfam family: tRNA
About the family: Transfer RNA (tRNA) molecules are approximately 80 nucleotides in length.
Source: Rfam by way of RNAcentral